This 255-nucleotide ribosomal RNA is filed under the name uncultured bacterium. Its description in RNAcentral is "partial 16S ribosomal RNA". It matches the Rfam family "Bacterial small subunit ribosomal RNA", at positions 524 to 777 of the family's 1533-position model. The record is from RNAcentral.
UACAGAGGGUGCGAGCGUUGUCCGGAAUCACUGGGCGUAAAGGGCGCGUAGGCGGCCUGAUAAGUAGGGGGGUGAAAUCCUGUGGCUUAACUGCAGGGCUGCCUCCUAGACUGUUAGGCUCGAGCACGGUAGAGGCAGAUGGAAUUCCCGGUGUAGCGGUGGAAUGCGUAGAGAUCGGGAAGAACAUCGGUGGCGAAGGCGGUCUGCUGGGCCGUUGCUGACGCUGAGACGCGAAAGCGUGGGGAGCAAACACGG